This is a long non-coding RNA of Mustela erminea (ermine), 1020 nucleotides long. RefSeq lists it as uncharacterized. The record is from RefSeq and is a predicted model, not a curated record. NCBI's taxonomy places the organism in Eukaryota, Metazoa, Chordata, Mammalia, Carnivora, Mustelidae. The transcript has 4 exons.
UUCCUGCCUCUUCAAAGGAGCACCGUGUACUUUCCCCUGAACAUCCCUGGGAGAAGAAGCUGUGUUCAUGCCCUGAUGGAAGGAGAGGGAGAACAUUCGGCUCGUUCUGUGGCAAUGACCUGCGUGGUGGAACAGGGCCAGUUGGUUCCAGAGAACCACAGCCCUGUGAAUCGUAAUGGCACUGUUACCUUCUCCUCCUGGUGGGAGAAAUGAAAUUAGCCAGGAAAGGCACGUCUGACGACAAAGGACACGAAGCCAGGGCUUCUGGAUCUAAAUGGGAGAGACGGUGUCUGGACACUAACAGGAAACGCCACCAGCCAUAAAGAAACAGACCAUACGAUACACAAAUACAAUCUAGGCUCCAGGAAGGCAGGAAGACUGGCCUGCACCAUACCCAGGGCUUAAAACUGUGCCUGGAACAUAGCUCAGUGAAUGUUUGUUGAAUGAACAAAUGACCCGACAGAGCUUGGAGGGAAAGAAGCUGCACUUGGCCCCGUCCCUCCUCCCUUCUCAGCCUGGGCGGGUUUCCCUGUGUGCCCACAGCAGGAGCUCGCAGGUGCCAUCCUGGAAGGAGGGGCCUGGCUGGGAGGAACACAGUCGUGUGACGGGAGGCAGGAGGUGUGGAGUGGGCUCCGCGGGCUCUGCGGUCCGAAGCUGGCUCACCUCCUGGGCAUGUGUGAGCCUGAGCCAGUCCUUUGGCAUUUCCAAGACUUGGUUUCUCCAUCUGUAGGUGGUCUUCUUGAGUCUCUACUUCCAGGGAGAUGGCGGGAGCUAUCAAACAGCGCAAUGCCUGAUGCCUGAGAUGCUCUCGCAGUGAAAGCUGUGGGUGACCCUCCAGUCCCGCUGGCAUGCACCCUUCCUGCCAAAGCCAACAGCUUCCUACAAACAGGCCUCUGUAGGUCCUUCCCUAGACCCUUUACUUACUGCCUGGACCCUUGCAGGGAUGACAGUCUAGAGUUGGCAGAGGGACAUCUGGGGGGCUCAGUCAGUUAAGCAUCUGACUCUUGAUUUCAGCUCAGG